Molecule: RNA transcript, 4980 nt
Organism: Eucalyptus grandis
Lineage: Eukaryota; Viridiplantae; Streptophyta; Magnoliopsida; Myrtales; Myrtaceae
Exons: 10
Source: RefSeq, a predicted model, not a curated record
AGAGAUGAGAGACUAUUCUGGUUCAUUCUGGCGAGCUCCAUGAAGACGACGCGAGCAGCUCUACAAUGGAUGACGUAGCUGAAGACCCAAUCCCUUCGAAGGCUUGACGCGUCGUUACCUUCGCGACCCAGAGGCGGAGUUCAUACAGAGGAUGGAGAGAUCGCCGUCGCCGCCGCCGUCGCCGCCGCCGUGCGAAGGCUCGAGGGAGCUCCAGUGCGUGGGCAAGCUGGAGAUCGUCAACCCCAAGCCCGUCGGCUUCCUCUGCGGCUCCAUCCCCGUCCUCACCGACAAUGCCUUUCGUCACGCCUUCGACUCCGCCCUCGUCCCCUCUCGCCAAACGGUGAGCGCUCCGCGGUAUCAGAUGCUUCCGACGGAGACCGACCUCAAGAGGCCUCCCGUCGCUCCGAAUUCUUCCGAGAAGUUGCUCCCCACCGGUGCACUGUUGUCGAGGAUGGCCGCUGGAGAUUUACCUUGGGAAGACAGUGCCAUCACAUCAAACUUUAGUAGGAAAUGUGAAGCGCUUGCUGUAUCUGGCUUGGUAGAAUAUGGUGAUGAGAUCGAUGUGAUCGCUCCUGCAGAUAUAUUGAAGCAGAUAUUUAAGAUGCCUUAUUCAAAAGCUCGUUUGUCCAUUGCUGUCCAUCGUAUCGGGCAAACUCUUGUUCUCAACAUGGGGCCUGAUGUGGAAGAGGGAGAGAAGUUGAUUAAAAGGCAUAGUCAAUCACAAUGUGCAGAACAGGCAUUAUUUCUUAAUUUUGCCAUGCAUUCAGUUAGAAUGGAGGCUUGUGAUUGUCCAACAUAUAAUGCUGCAUCAUCAAAGGACCAAUUGGAUUCUUCUGUUCUUCCUGGGAUAGAUACUUCCAACAUUUUUGGUCUGCAUGAUGACAUUGCUGACAAAGAGCAAUCAAGACAAAGCUCAGAGUAUCCACAAAUAAAACAGAGUGGUUUCAUAUGGGAAAGUAAGUCCAAGAGGAAUAAAAGGCGCGAUCCUGUCAAAAAGACGACACAAGUUAGUGAAAAGAACCGACAUGCGGUGCAAGAGUCUGACAGGCAUAGAAGAGCUGUGAAUGAUGGAUUUUUGAGGGUCUUGUUUUGGCAAUUUCACAAUUUCCGUAUGCUUCUGGGCAGUGACUUGCUUCUCUUUAGUAAUGAAAAAUAUCUUGCUGUGAGUCUGCAUCUGUGGGACAUUACAAGACAGGUCACUCCAUUGACUUGGCUUGAAGCCUGGCUUGAUAAUAUCAUGGCUAGUGUGCCGGAAUUGGCUAUUUGUUAUCAUCAGAAUGGAGUGGUUCAGGGCUAUGAGCUUCUUAAGACAGAAGACAUCUUUCUAUUGAAAGGCAUCUCUGAGGAUGGCACUCCUGCUUUUAACCCUCAUGUUGUCCAGCAAAAUGGCCUUUCUGUAUUGAGGUUCCUUCAAGAGAACUGCAAGCAAGAUCCUGGGUCAUACUGGCUGUACAAAGGUGCUGGCGAAGAUGUAAUUCAACUUUUUGAUCUUGCUGUUAUCCCUAAGAAUCACUCUUCUGACAAUAGCGAUGAUAGCUCAAGCUCUUUGCCUUCACCAAUGCAUAGAGGAAGAAGCGACUCUUUGUUCUCACUGGGCACUCUGCUUUACCGCAUUGCUCAUAGACUUUCCUUAUCAGUGACUCCAAAAGAUAAGGCAAAAUGUGCAAGCUUCAUUAGGAAGUGCUUGGAAUUACUGGAUGAGCCAGAUCAGCUUGUUGUACGCGCUCUUGCUCAUGAACAAUAUGCCAGACUUAUUUUGAACAAUGAUGAUGAGGAUGUUGAUUUGGCAUCUGAAUCUGUCCCAGAAGAAUGUGAAGUUACAGUUAUGGAUGUUGAAGAAGAAUCUCGGAAUUUUUUAAGAAGCAUUUCUGACUCUUUUGUCCAGGACGAUAAGCCCUCUUUUGUUUUAGAAGAAAAGCCUAGUGAAGUACAAAAGGAACUUCAAAAUUUAGCAUCAGAAGCAUCAUUGAAUAUGUCUUUAGAGGCUAGUACAUCUGCUUCUGGAAAAUUGGUGACAUCAUCUGACACUGAGAAGACAGUUUCAGAAGGAGGUGUCUCUAGUUCUGGAUGCGGUGAUCACUUUGCAAUCUGCCAAGUGUCCCCUGUAUCUACACAAGUAAUUCAAACUGUUGCAGAUCCUAUCUCCUUCAAGCUGGCUGCAAUACAUCAUGUUUCUCAAGCUAUUAAGUCACUGAGAGGAAUGCGCCAAUUGCAAAGUGACGAGGCAGAGCUGGUUGACUGUGGCAGUGGAGCUGCUGAUGGAGCUCCCUUGCCUACGAACUUCUCUGUUUGUGCAUGUGGUGAUGCUGAUUGUAUUGAAGUUUGUGAUAUUCGUGAUUGGCUGCCUACAUCAAAAUUGGAUCAUAAGCUGUGGAAACUUAUUCUGUUACUUGGAGAAUCUUACUUGGCACUUGCACAAGCUUAUAAAGAGGAAGGUGAGUUGCUUCAAGCAUUGAAGGUUGUAGAAUUAGCUUGUUCAGUCUAUGGGUCAAUGCCCCAACAUCUUAAAGAUACAAGAUUUGUUUCCUCAAUUGUUAGUUGUUCAACAUCCUUGUCGAUGCUUAAUGACAAAAAUGGAAGGACAAAAUCAAAGUUUGAUGCUGGUGAAAAUCUUAUAUCCACCACAGACGAUGAUCAUUUUACUUCUGAGCAAUUCUCCUUCACUUACCUCUUUUGGGCCAAGGCUUGGACUUUGGUUGGAGAUAUAUAUGUUGAGUUCCACAUGAUAAAGGGCAAAGAGGUUUCAAUUCAAACAGCUGAGAAACGGACCAUGAAAGAGCUGAGAAUGUCAUCUGAGGUUGUGAAGGAAGUCAAAAGGCUCAAGAAGAAGUUGGGACAACUUAAGCAGAACUGCAGUUUGUGCUCCCUGGUGAAUUGCAGCUGUCAAAGUGAUAGGGCUAGCAGUGGUAGCAGCGCAAGCAGUAGCACUGGAGAUUCACAUAUGAUGGCUCAUUGCAGAAGAUCGGGAAGAAAGUCGCAUGGUAGGCGAAGCUCUUUUUCAAAUUUUGUAGACACUGAAAAUGAAAGCACUCUCCAGAAUGUGGACAAGGGUAGGCGGAAAAAGAAAAAUACUGGCCCUGUAUCAGAAACUUUUAAUAUAGCUAGAGGCACUGUGGAUUUGGAUUCUUCAGUUGCUACUGUUUCUAAUAACGGUGAAGAUUCUUCCGAAAAGCAUGCUGUUGCAUCUGAAGUGGCUUCUGAAACAGGCUCAUCUUGGAAAGAAGUACCUAUAAAGAAAACGGGUGGAAUAUUUGGAUAUAUCGUGGGUGCUGCAGCUGGAGAAACAGACAGCAAUCUUUUAUCUGCUCUAAGCUGCUAUGAAAAAGCUAGAAAUGCAUUAGGUGGAGUUCCGGCUAGCUCAGUGGAACUUCAAUCUAUUAUGAAAAAGAAAGGAUGGGUUUGCAAUGAAAUAGGUAGAAACAUGCUGGAGAGGAAAGAGUUGAGUGAAGCUGAGGUUGCUUUUGCUGAUGCUAUAAAUGCAUUUAGAGAUGUCUCUGACCAUACCAACAUCAUACUAAUUAAUUGCAAUCUGGGUCAUGGAAGACGGGCAUUAGCUGAAGAGAUGGUUGCUAAAAUUGGACAUCUUAAAUCGCUUCCAGCUUUUCAUGAUUCAUACAAGCAGGCAUUGGUAACUGCAAAGCAUGAAUAUUGCGAAGCUCUUAAAUUUUAUGGGGCAGCAAAGUCAGAGCUCAGGGUUGUGGAGGAACAUGAAGAUUCUAUUUCUGAAAGCUUGAAAAAUGAGGUGUAUACACAGUAUGCCCACACUUAUCUGAGGCUCGGUAUGUUUUUGGCUGGAGAAGACACAACUGCUGACGUGUAUGAAACUGCAGCCUUGGAGGAAAUUUCACUUGCUGGCUCUAGUUAUAGUCCUAGAAGACCUAAAGAUUUGAUCUUGAGAAAGCACGAAAUCACAGCAAAUGAGGCCAUUAGAGAGGCGUUGUCUGUGUAUGAAUCGUUGGGUGAGGUGCGUAAACAGGAGGCUGCAUAUGCAUAUUUCCAGCUUGCUUGCUACCAGAGAGACUGCUGCUUGAAAUUUCAAAAUUCAAUUCAUAAGAAAGGAUUCUCUAAAGGUGAGAAUAGCAUUCUCCAGCGAGUGAAACAGUAUGCUUCAUUGGCUGAGCGGAACUGGCAGAAAGCAACUGAUUUUUAUGGUCCCCAGACCCAUCCAGCCAUGUACCUCACCAUAAUGAUGGAGAGAUCAGAUCUUUCAUCGACCCUCUCAAGUUCAUUGCACUCAAAUGCGAUGCUGGAAGCAUCUGUGUCUCGGCUACUAGAUGGCCGUCAAAUAUCUGAAACAGCCUCAGAUGCUCUGAAGGCCAGUCACCCUGAAAUACAUGCCAAAUUUUGGAGCCAGUUUCAGAUGCUUUUGAAGAAUAUGCUGGCGUCAACACUUGCUGCAAGUAGCAGCAAGUCUCCCUCGCAUGCAGUUUCAAUACCCAGCAAGCCUGGAGAUGCCGUGAAGCUCAAAGAACUUUAUAAAAUGUCCUUGAAGUCCACUGAGUUCAGCCAGCUGCAUGUCAUGCACUCCCUGUGGAUAUCUUGACUUGACCUGAAUUUGCAUUUUGUGAUGCUUCCAUGAAACACGUGCAUCUUAACAGGAACAACAGAACUGGGCAAGGUCUUAUAAUUGCAUCUUGAGGGCGCUUUUAAAUGAAGGGCUGGAGAAGGGGAAUAUCGACCCACUAUAAAGAAUGUGAGCAACAUAGCCCAAAAAAGAACACAAGCCCCUAGCCUCUUCUGCUCAGAAAGAUGGAGGGAGGGAUGUAUCCAUGGCAUUGCUGUCAAUUUUGAAGGUAAAACUAAAACCAACCUUGGAGGGGCGAAAUUCUGAACAGUGGGUUUCUAUGAAUUGAUCCGUCGUGCUUAAAUGCGUCGUAUCUUAAUGUAUCUUAUAAUAAUUCUCAUACAUAACGUAACACCACACAAAUAUGUAUUCUCUUAUAACCACUGGGAUUCGUCCCAGUGGCCGCCCUUCCAACA